UACCCCGCGGGGAGGCAGCUAAGGCCCGGCGAGAAGUCGAGCACAGCAGCUGCUGGACCGGGUGCUAAGCCCCUCACUGCCCCGGGCGCGGGGCCGGCUGGCCGCUCCGAGUGCUGGGCCUGGGAGGCCACGCCCACCCGGAACUUGCCCUAGUCCGCAAGCGCAGCGUGCAGCCUGGGUUCCCGCCCGCGCCUCUCCCGCCACACCUCCCUGCAAGCUGAGGGAGCCGGCUCCUGCCUUGGCCAGGCUAGAAAGGGGCUCCCACAGUGCAGGGGCGGGCUGAAGGGCUCCUCAAGUGCCACCAAAGUGGGAGCCCAGGCAGAGGAGGUGCCGAGAGCGAGCGAGGGCUGCGAGGACUGCCAGCAGCUGUCACCUCUCGUUACCAUCACUCCUAGUGACCAUUUCGGAUAAUCCACCUUGCCUCAUCAAACCAGAAAACAAUUCAAACCUGGCCUCCUUCUAACUGGAAGCCACAUUUUAAGAACUUAUUGUGAAGAACUGGAAAGCCUCCAAUAGGACCCAUUAUACAGGCUGCCUUUCCAGCUCUCCAAUCAUACUUCCAAGAAAACUGCUCACUCUCAGAACCAAGGUUCAAGUUGUACAUUGGGAUUUGGGUAGAGCACGGGACCUGGCAUGGAGCAGCAUUCAAAAUAUUGGGUAGAAGGAAAAAGGAAGAAAGAAGGGAAGGACAGGGAAGCAAGGAAAUAAAGGAAAUCAGGCUAUAUAUACAGUGAUGCCCAUCUACCCCUGAGAUCUAAAAAUCUAAGAUGAAAACGAGCACACAGUCUUGGCAGCAUUGGGGUAACAGACUAUGAAAGAAGAAAUCAGAUUGGAAAAUUCAGUAUAUCAAUGAAGAAAAUAAUCACUCAAGGAGAGGAAUAAACAGCAAAACAAUCUAUAUAUUUAAUUAUAGAUACAAUUGUUUCAAUGCUGAUUAUUCAUCCUUAUAUAACUGUCUACAGCUAUUUAGGGUUGUCUUCAUCCAUUUUGUGUUGCCAUUGCAGAAUACGUGAAACUGGGUAAUUUGUAAAGAAAAGAGAUUUUUUAACUUAUGGGUUCUGCAGGAUGGGAAGUUCAAGAAACAUGACACCAGCAUCUGCUUGGUUUCUGUUGAGGACUUUCAUGCUUAUAUCACAACAUGGCAGAAGGUUAAAGGGGGAGUAGACAUGUGCAAAUAGGCAAAACCUGAGGGGCAUCUUGGCUUUAUAACAACCCACUCUUGGAGGACUAAUUCAUUCUUGAGAGAACUAAUCUGGUCUUGCCAGAGAAAAAAUUCACUCACUGCCUACUGUGAGAAUAGCACUAAGCCAUCCAUGAGAGUGGAGCCCCAUCACUCAAACACCUCCCAUUAGGCUCUACAGCUUACAGAUUAUACCUCCUAACAUUGCCACAGUGGGAAACAAAUUUCAAGAUGAGAUUUGGUGGGGACAGACCAUAUCUAAACAAAGAGUAAACAAGGGUAAACAACUUUUGAGAACAUACUUGUGAUCCUUUAUUUCAACCCAGAAUGAUGCCAGAAUUUUGGAGAUGGGGCUCAGAGCAAAUCAGUAAGUUACAAUUCUCAAGUUUCACAGGGAAGUGGGAGUGAGAGACACAUCAUGGAGGACCACGCGACUCUCAGUUACACUGGGUGAAUUGUCUUCAUUGAAUUCCCGCACCAUGCAGACUCAUUUAACGGUAGUUCUUCCAAAGCUGCUUUUCUGCUUUGCUUUUGGAAUACUACUUUAUCUAAAUUUUCAUCUACCCUUUCAAUUCCUAUGCUUCUUGUGUUGAUUUCUCUUUUCCGACUUCUCAGAUUUUUAAUCUCAUUUUUAAACAUGAGAAUUCUCUGAGGUCUAUUUCUUGACCCUUUGUCCUCUUUUUAACUAUCCCUUGGGAAACUUGCACAAUCUAAAUGACUAACUAGAACUUAUGAGAUUAUGAGCCAGAUCUCUCCCUGCUUAUGAGCCCAUUUCAAUUAGAUGUCUCAGCAUCAUUGUAAGUUAAAAUGCAUAAAAUCCAAAACAAUAAAUUUUUCUCAAACCAAUGUUAUAUCUGAAAUGGUUAUUUCAAUGACUUUAAUGACUUUCAAUAACUUCAAUGACCUUAGCUUCUUUCUGUUCUUUCCACAAGCUAGUGCUUUAAUUUUUUAAGAAUAAACUUAACAGAUGAAAUGAUAAAGACAUAAUUUUUAUGUUGUGUUAUACUCUUGAUGGAAAUAUUUCCAAAUCUUUUGAAUGAAGAGCUUUGAAGAAAAACCUG
RNAcentral lists this long non-coding RNA (2241 nucleotides) under Homo sapiens (human). RNAcentral's name for it is "HSALNT0061912". Lineage: Eukaryota; Metazoa; Chordata; Mammalia; Primates; Hominidae. The record is from RNAcentral.